This 504-nucleotide ribosomal RNA is filed under the name uncultured bacterium. Its description in RNAcentral is "bacterial SSU rRNA". It matches the Rfam family "Bacterial small subunit ribosomal RNA", at positions 29 to 507 of the family's 1533-position model. The record is from RNAcentral.
AACGAACGCUGGCGGCGUGCUUAAGACAUGCAAGUCGUGCGAGAAAGUCACCUUCGGGUGGCGAGUAGAGCGGCGCACGGGUGAGUAACGCGUGGGUAAUCUGCCUUUAGGUUUGGGAUAACUCCGGGAAACUGGUGCUAAUACCGGAUAAGACCACGACGUCUUCGGGCGAUGUGGAAAAGAUGGCCUCUCCUUGGAAGCUAUCGCCUAUUGAUGAGCCCGCGUCCCAUUAGCUUGUUGGUGAGGUAACGGCUCACCAAGGCGUCGAUGGGUAGCUGGUCUGAGAGGAUGAUCAGCCACACUGGAACUGAGACACGGUCCAGACUCCUACGGGAGGCAGCAGUCGGGAAUUUUGGGCAAUGGGGGAAACCCUGACCCAGCAACGCCGCGUGAGGGAUGAAGGCCUUCGGGUCGUAAACCUCUGUCAGGAGGGAAGAACGGGCCGCAGUCGAAUAGGCUGCGGUUUUGACGGUACCUCCAAAGGAAGGACCGGCUAACUCCGUG